GAGCCAGACUCCUACGGGAGGCAGCAGUGGGGGAUAUUGGACAAUGGGGGGAACCCUGAUCCAGCGACGCCGCGUGAGUGAAGAAGUAUCUCGGUAUGUAAAGCUCUAUCAGCAGGGAAGAAGAAAUGACGGUACCUGAGUAAGAAGCCCCGGCUAACUACGUGCCAGCAGCCGCGGUAAUACGUAGGGGGCAAGCGUUAUCCGGAAUUACUGGGUGUAAAGGGAGCGUAGACGGUGAUGUAAGUCUGGAGUGAAAGGCGGGGGCCCAACCCCCGGACUGCUCUGGAAACUAUGUGACUGGAGUGCAGGAGAGGUGAGCGGAAUUCCUAGUGUAGCGGUGAAAUGCGUAGAUAUAUGGAAGAACACCAGUGGCGAAGGCGGCUCUCUGGUCUGCAACUGACGCUGAGGCUCGAAGGCAUGGGUAGCGAACAGGAUUAGAUACCCCAGUA
This 449-nucleotide ribosomal RNA is filed under the name uncultured bacterium. RNAcentral describes it as "bacterial SSU rRNA". It matches the Rfam family "Bacterial small subunit ribosomal RNA", at positions 328 to 792 of the family's 1533-position model. The record is from RNAcentral.